Bradysia coprophila is the source of this 674-nucleotide long non-coding RNA. Lineage: Eukaryota; Metazoa; Arthropoda; Insecta; Diptera; Sciaridae. The record is from RefSeq and is a predicted model, not a curated record.
UGCCAUAAAAUAUCUUUCUUGAUUCCAGGAUCCCAGGCAAUGAAUGGGCGCUCAACCAAGCAAAACAAAAUUUAGUAAAUAAUUAUUUCUUAGUCGGUGUAACGGAACAAAUGGAAGAUUUCAUCAAUUUAUUGGAACUUUCACUGCCGAGAAUAUUCAACGGAACGUUGGACCACUAUCUGAAUUCGAGCAAGUCGCAUCUGCGACAGACGGCAUCGAAACUGCAACCGACUAGCAAAACAAUAAGUGAUAUAACAAAGUCUCCCAUUUGGAAAAUGGAAAACGAACUGUACGAAUUUGCGUUGCAGCAAUUUCAUUUUUUGUACAAAUUGCGCAACAACAUCCGAUUACAAGGGAAGAAUUUGACGCAGAAAUAUUUUUAUGAGAAAAUUCGACCAAAGUAAAGUCGAUUGGAUUUGACCGUUGAAGUGAUGAUAGUGGACGGACGACGAAAAAGUUGAACAAGAAAAUGUUUGCUGGAUAUAAUGAAGCAGUGAACGUAAUUUGAUGUAGUUCCAAUGCACAAUUGUUGAUCACAAGCGAAUUGUGUAGUGUACAAAAUGUGAAUAAAAUCCUGUAAAUUAAGAAACGUACGACCCGUAAGUUUAUUUGUCUUCCAGCUUAAUUACAUCAGAUUUGUAUAGUGUUCGCAAUAAAUAUACAUGUUGUGUACC